Molecule: unclassified non-coding RNA, 108 nt
Filed under: Trypanosomatidae sp. 62LS
Lineage: Eukaryota; Euglenozoa; Kinetoplastea; Trypanosomatida; Trypanosomatidae
Source: RNAcentral
AACUAACGCAAAUAAAAGUAACAGUUUCUGUAGUUUAUUGGUAUGAGAAACUUCCAGAAGUGACACACAAUCACUUCAGGCAACUUUUCCACCGCGACCUUCGGGUCG